RNAcentral lists this transfer RNA (71 nucleotides) under Marmota monax (woodchuck). The record is from Rfam by way of RNAcentral. Lineage: Eukaryota; Metazoa; Chordata; Mammalia; Rodentia; Sciuridae. RNAcentral also lists the same sequence under 2 other names.
GUGAGUGUAGCUCCGUGGUAGGAUACUUGUCUUGCACGCAUGAGGCCCUGGGUUCAAUGCCCAGCACCACA